RNAcentral lists this ribosomal RNA (496 nucleotides) under uncultured bacterium. RNAcentral's name for it is "partial 16S ribosomal RNA". It matches the Rfam family "Bacterial small subunit ribosomal RNA", at positions 29 to 507 of the family's 1533-position model. The record is from RNAcentral.
AUGCACGCUGGCGGCGUGCCUAAUACCUGCAAGUCGAGCGCACGGACGAGAAGCUUGCUUCUCUGAUGUUAGCGGCGGACGGGUGAGUAACACGUGGAUAACCUACCUAUAAGACUGGGAUAACUUCGGGAAACCGGAGCUAAUACCGGAUAAUAUUUUGAACCGCAUGGUUCAAAAGUGAAAGACGGUCUUGCUGUCACUUAUAGAUGGAUCCGCGCUGCAUUAGCUAGUUGGUAAGGUAACGGCUUACCAAGGCAACGAUGCAUAGCCGACCUGAGAGGGUGAUCGGCCACACUGGAACGGAGACACGGUCCAGACUCCUACGGGAGGCAGCAGUAGGGAAUCUUCCGCAAUGGGCGAAAGCCUGACGGAGCAACGCCGCGUGAGUGAUGAAGGUCUUCGGAUCGUAAAACUCUGUUAUGAGGGAAGAACAUAUGUGUAAGUAACUGUGCACAUCUUGACGGUACCUAAUCAGAAAGCCACGGCUAACUACGUG